UGGUGAUAUGCUGGAGCUGGAGAAAAGCUUGGAAAGGGACAUUGAAAAUGCUCAAAAAGUGCUUGAAUUUCACCCUGAAAAAGGCGUAUGAACCCUGCAGUGAGAACCAUGCAUGUAGAGACCAUCCAUUCACCUUUUCUGCAUCGCACAAAGACACGGCAGGUGGACCAAAAAUCUCAACUCUGGACAAAGUCGACAGUGGUGCAGUCAGACGUCCUUUUUAAUUCCUUCCUUUUUUUGAAGCGUAAGAGCAGGAACAGUUACAAAAACAGGUCUUUGACGCUCGUCUGCCAGUGUCUGCUCAUCUGUACACGUUUUUUAGGACUGCAUUAUGCAAACACAACCUUGGUGAGAUGAAGAAGGUCGACGUGUUGUAUGUAACUAAAACUCAGUUGAGGAAGUUUCUGUAUCAAUUCUGACCAGUGUUUGUAAAGACGUAAUAAUGUCUGUGUCUAAUAUUGUCUAAUGUGUGUAAUAAUGUCUGUGCUUGUAAGAUUGUGUUUGUAGCAAAGCCAAUUUGAACUCAUCACUAAAGAGAGCCGUUAAAUAUGGUCGUGUUGAUGAGCUCCCAGGAUUAUUCAUAUUUGGACUAAAGCAGCUGGGAUUAGGAACAAGCUGGAACAUGAAUUUUAUGAUAAUAAACUUGAUUCAGCAGAAUCGGAGGCUGCAGGUAACUCCCAGGUAAGAAGUCCAGAACGAAGGCUGCCAACAUCCAGAGACUGGUGACUCCUCGUGCGCUGCAGCACUCAAGAGACAGCACACCCAGAAGAACAAGGAGGAGGCCUCAGAGUACGCCAAGCUGCUGGCCAAGAGGAUGAAGACAGGAGGCCAAGGAGAAGUGCCAGGAACAGAUCGCCAAGAGGCGCCGCCUUCAUUCUAUGAGGGCGUCCACAUCCAAGUCAGAGUCCAGCCAGAAGUGAAACAGAAUCAAAUAAAGUCAUGUUUUGCUGAAA
Molecule: long non-coding RNA, 953 nt
Organism: Oreochromis aureus
Lineage: Eukaryota; Metazoa; Chordata; Actinopteri; Cichliformes; Cichlidae
Source: Ensembl